CCUGCCAACGCAAGGAGCAGGUGAACGUAACGUUGCUAUCGUGCGAGUGAUCAAUACCAUACUUGCCUUACGAGACCCUUGAGACAAUCGUUGAUGUGACAGUUUGAAGCCUUCGGAGCCUUUUAAACAGUUGUUGUGCAAAUAGGCCACAUUGUGAUGUAAUUUUUCCCGUUUUAGAAAUAGUCCGUAGUUCACGAAGAUGCUGUAACCGUUAGCUUCGAGACGCAUCAACAUACACCACUGAUCAAUCUAAAUACCAUAGGAGUGAAUUGAGUACAAAGAAAUCCGAGUAGUACUUACUUAGUGUAUUCUCUCAUCCCGUGUAUUCGAAUGGAAUUGCAUAAAAUAGGUCUACGUAAACAAACAGAAUCGUUACGUUUGAGGCCGACGAUUUCAAGGGUCAGAAUAGAAACUUUGCUUCAUCUCAAGGAAGUGACAGCUUGGUAUACUAGGCGUGCUUGAUGGCUUUUUUACUCGGCACGCAAUUAUUGUAUCACAACAUGGACCGCGUAUUGCGUUUUGGACAAAUCUAUUACAUUGACAAUGUACUACUAUCUGAGGCAGCGGUGAAGUGUCCUCAGGGGAAACCAGCCGAAGCAACUGCGACUCGUCUGGAAAGGUAGUACUGCUGGCCCUCGCAAUGCCUAGUAGUGAUAUUAGCCAUGAUGACUCAGUCUCCACGCCACCGUUAGUGAGAUGGUCCCUCUGAUAACAGAAGCCACAAAGCCCUUGCUCUGACAGAAUUGCGGGGUCUCCCUUCUACCGUCGUACCCUUGACCUUAAUUUCAAAUUUUUCACCCGUUUCCUUUCUGCUCACUACGACACCAGCACCAUACGGAGGCUUACACAGAUUUGCACAAAAACUAGAUAGAUAUUAACAAUAUUACAAUCAACGCCAUCGCCACCGUCAGUUAAAACAGUAACAGCGGCAUUGCAGGGUUUUCCAUACGCUAGUCGCUCACGCACACAAAGUGCUUAGGCUGAAUUGAAGUAGCGUCUGCUGCAGCGUCCGCCACAGAGCGACACAGAUGAACAAGUUUAAAUGUGUUUUUUUCUUCCGGCGUUCCAAGUUUCGCUGGCGGAAGAACGUUUACAUAAAAGGGGGACCAGUUGCAAACUCUGAUAGGUCCCUUGACACCAGUACAAAAAAAGUACGGCUUCGCAGCUAGGUUGGUAUGGAUGCUUCGGAGCGGCACAGUGAGCGGGGGACGACGGUUCUGUUGGUCAGUUUCUGUUAAUGUAGCAUAUAUGAUUGCAUUUGUAAUUUGGAAAUGAUCGUCGAUGUGGCAUUAGUUCUUUGUUGUGUUUACCGAGGCAAAGAUGGCCAGAAAAAAAAUGGAUAAGAAACACGCCGCUUCAGGCUCGAUACGAACGAGGGAAUGAAAAAGACAUUUUACAGAUUUUCAUUAUCGAUUCUUAGAAGUAGGGGAGACGUUUAUAUGUGGAAUAUUACAGUCAUCAGUCUUCUGAUUCUUCAGUACGCUUAAAAUUCAGCAUAAAGAUUAUGCAAUGGAUUCGAUUUGCAGCAGCAACACAACAUAUUGAAACAACUGACGAAAGGUAGGUAAUGUUUUUGUUACAUUUAGACAUCGUGGGAUGACGCUUUCCGCGAUUUUGCUCAAUCUAUGAAUUUAUUAAUAAAUAAUUUUCUUAAAUAAAAUAGUGCAUACUUUUUGUGAUUUAAAACUAAACGGUUUCCUUAAAGAGCCAAAAACCACUGAUAGGCUAUUCAAACCCCGCCAUCGAUGCGCAUUACGUCCGGGAUAAAAUGAAAACAGCCCUCGGUAUAAUGUCCUGGUAUUCAAUUGAUUCAAUAAAAUGUAUUGAGUUGAACGUACAAAUAAAGAAUUACUACGAGUAUGAGUUCCGCCUUUUAUAACGCGGAAAGAUUAGCUUAACUUAACGAUAACUAAGGCGUAACUCGUAGUUCGUUAAUUGUAAUUAACUGCAGAUCGGCACGUAAUUCAUUCAGUUGAUAAGUAAUGUGAUAACCUGUGCCACUAUCUAUCUAUACUUAAGGAUGAGGAUCUUCUACACUUCUAGAGAAGUCAUUCUACUCGAAGGAUAAAGAAAGUCAUUUGCUAAAUGCAAAAGAAAAAGCGGCACUAGAUCAGAUCUCUUUCAAACUAUGGUACAACAUAUUUCAACAGAUUAAGGCCACUCGUUUGAACCUCAUGGAACGCAGCCGUUAGUAAAUACGGUGAGAUAGUCAGCGGCACUGAUUUGUGUUCGAUGCCGAUCAGAAAUACGGGCGAAGGGAGAAAAGCGUCAUCGAUCGCAUUAGAUGUUUGCAGAUGGUAAUCAAACACAGGUUAUUUUGUGCUAAAUGAAGCUGGACCUUUCGGCUGAAAUAAAUAUGACGUCGCAUCGCAAGCCGCCGACUACGAAAGUAACGUUGUUCAGCCGCGACUCAUUCCUAAGAAAACGACAAAUCAAGGAUAGUGAAAAUGGUGAAAACGACCUACAAAUAAACAUCGUCUAAGGAUCA
RNAcentral lists this long non-coding RNA (2488 nucleotides) under Varroa destructor (honeybee mite). Its description in RNAcentral is "uncharacterized LOC111250642, transcript variant X1". The record is from RNAcentral. Lineage: Eukaryota; Metazoa; Arthropoda; Arachnida; Mesostigmata; Varroidae.